Molecule: ribosomal RNA, 778 nt
Filed under: uncultured bacterium
Lineage: Bacteria
Description: bacterial SSU rRNA
Rfam family: Bacterial small subunit ribosomal RNA
Source: RNAcentral
AGAGUUUGAUCCUGGCUCAGGACGAACGCUGGCGGCGUGCUUAACACAUGCAAGUCAAGGGGGCCCAGCAAUGGGCAACCGGCGAACGGGUGCGUAACACGUGAGCAACCUACCGAACUGUGGGGGAUAGCCGGCCUAACGGCCGAGUAAUACCGCAUACGCUCUCAGAGAGGCAUUUCUUUGAGAGGAAACCUACGGGACAGAUCGAGGGGCUCGCGGCCUAUCAGCUAGUUGGCGAGGUAACGGCUCACCAAGGCGACGACGGGUAGCUGGUCUGAGAGGAUGGCCAGCCACAUUGGGACUGAGAUACGGCCCAGACUCCUACGGGAGGCAGCAGUGGGGAAUCUUGCGCAAUGGCCUAACGGCUGACGCAGCGACGCCGCGUGUGGGAUGAAGCUCCUCGGAGUGUAAACCACUGUUGCCCGGGACGAAUAGCUCGAUUAAUCGAGCCUGACGGUACCGGGUGAGGAAGCACCGGCUAACUCCGUGCCAGCAGCCGCGGUAAUACGGGGGGUGCGAGCGUUGUCCGGAAUCACUGGGCGUAAAGGGCGCGUAGGUGGUUUGAUAAGGGUGUGGUGAAAGUCCGGGGCUCAACCCCGGAUCUGCCGUGCCGACUGUCAAACUCGAGGACUGUAGAGGCAGGCGGAAUUCCGGGUGUAGCGGUGGAAUGCGUAGAGAUCCGGAGGAAGACCGGUGGCGAAGGCGGCCUGCUGGGCAGUUUCUGACACUGAUGCGCGACAGCGUGGGGAGCAAACAGGAUUAGAUACCCCCGUAGUCC